AAUCAACGCUGGCGGCGUGCCUAACACAUGCAAGUCGAACGAGAAAGAGGGGGGCAACCCCUUGAGUGAAGUGGCGACCGGGUGAGUAACACGUGACUAACCUACCUUUCAGUGGGGAAUAACCUCGGGAAACCGGGGCUAAUACCGCAUAACAUCCUGUGGUUGAGAUACCGUUGGAUCAAAGGAGCAAUUCGCUGAUAGAGGGGGUCGCGGCAGAUUAGCUAGUUGGCGGGGUAAUGGCCCACCAAGGCACUGAUCUGUAGCCGGCCUGAGAGGGCGCACGGCCACACUGGAACUGAAACACGGUCCAGACUCCUACGGGAGGCAGCAGUGGGGAAUUUUGCGCAAGUGGGGAAACCCUGACGCAGCAACGCCGCGUGGAGGAUGAAGGUCUUUGGAUUGUAAACUCCGUUUCGA
Molecule: ribosomal RNA, 417 nt
Filed under: uncultured bacterium
Lineage: Bacteria
Description: bacterial SSU rRNA
Rfam family: Bacterial small subunit ribosomal RNA
Source: RNAcentral